AUGACCCCCACAGGCCUGUGGAGAGGAGAGGGGGGUCACUGCACAGCACGAGCCCCCUGGCACAGCGGGGAUGCCAGGGUGCAGCCCGGCAGGGGGCUGCCCUUACCAGAUGUCGGUGACGCUGGAGACGGGGCUCUGGUUGACGAUCUCGGGGCCCACGAACUCGGGGGUGCCGUACUUGCAGUACUGCGGCUCGUCGGGCGUCAGCUCCUGCGCGUUGCCGAAGUCGCAGAUGCGCACCUGCUCGCUGCUCGAAUCCGCCAUCAGGAGGUUUUCUGGCUACAGGACACGCGGGGCGGCUGGGAGCUUGGCGGGAGGCUCCCGGGGCGGGGAGGGGCAGGGCAGGACACGGGGGCUGCCCCCCGAGCUGGGGGCCGUGGGGAGAGCACUCACUUUGAUGUCCAGGUGCAGCACGUGGUGCUGGUGCAGGUAGCAGAUCCCCUCCAGGAUCUGCCGCAUGUAGGAGCGGACCUGCCAGAGCAGAGGCGGGGUGGGGAUGGCACCCAGGGGACCAUCACGGUCCCCUCAGCCCCUCAUGGGACCAGGCAGGGGAUGGAGAGGGCUGUCACCUCCCUUUGGGCAUGGCGCAAUGUCCCUGGGCGGGGACAGCCCCACAUGUCCCCAGCCGUCCUCUCCACCCCAUGGCUUUGCCCUGCCAGGGCUCACCCACCUCGGACUCACACACCGAGGGCUUCCUCGCCAUCCUGUCCAGCAACUCGUCCUCGGCACAGCUGGGAGCUGGUCAAGGAGCACAGGAACGCCGUGCCCCCCUCGGCACCCCGCCGCCAUGCACCCACCCUGCCCACCCGUGUCCCCCCGGCCACGCAGUCCCGGAGGAUACAGCUCCAUCACCAUGAUGACGGCGUUCUUCUUCUCGAAGGCAUCGUGGAAGAAGACGAUGCGCUCGUGGUCCAGCUGCGAGAGGAUGUGCAGCUCCCGGCGCGCCGACUGCUUGGCCUUGGUCCUGCCGGGGACGAACUUGGCGGCGAAGUCCAGCCGGCUGCUCUUCUCCGUCACCCUCCGCAGGUAGGAGAAAGCCCCCCUGCAACGUGGGGAGGGAUGGGAAGGGGCUGGCAGGGCAGCUGGAGGCACCCCCGUCCCUGCAGGCACUGGGGUCUGCAGGGAGCUGCCCCAGGAGCACCAGGACCGCCCUUAGGGGACCUGGUGGCCCCGUACCUCCCGAUCUCCUCGUGCACGUCGUAG
This 1203-nucleotide long non-coding RNA is filed under the name Anas zonorhyncha (Eastern spot-billed duck). RNAcentral's name for it is "lncRNA (ENSAZOG00000000401.1)". The record is from RNAcentral. Lineage: Eukaryota; Metazoa; Chordata; Aves; Anseriformes; Anatidae.